AACGCAUAUGCAGAACGCAGGCUAAGGAAGUCUUCGGGGAGGAAAGAGUAUCUCAGAGGGGCAGGUGCAGCCACAGCGUGGGCCCGCGUGCCUGGUGCUAAGCUGGGCCCAUUACGCGUACAUCACAUGAUUUAAUUCUCACUAAAUUGCAAGCUGGGAUGGGGCGGGGGGACGUGAGGGUUAUUUUUUUAAUCUCUUUUUGUAGUUGGAAAAUCCUGGAGCCCAGAAAGGUGAAGCAAACUGCCUGAGGUCAAGCUCAUAAUGUGAAGUGGAGCUGCAAUGUCUACUCAAGAGUGUCUGACAUCUGCACUUUUUACUCUGCCAGGUAAGAAGACCCUCACCAGAUGUGGCCCCUCACUCCUGGACUUCCAAGCCUCCAGAAUCAUGAACUAAAUACAUUUCUAUUUGUUAUAAAUUACUCAGCCUCAGGUAUUGCUAGAGCAGUAGAAAACAGACUGAGAAAGGCUGUGUCUCCCUCCUCAGACUGAAGGAUCUUUGUGAUCAGAUGCUGUGUCUAUAUCCUUUGUUCAUUUGUUUGAUAUUUGCUGAGGACCUUUUAAGUGCCAGGCACUAUUCUAGAUUCAGAAUACUAUGUUGAAAAGACAGACAAAACCACUGGUCUCAUGGAACUUACAAGUUAGUUGCGACAAAUGACAAUAAACAACAAACAAUUUUAGGUUACAAUAAGUACUAAGAAGCAAAUAAAAGCAGCAUAAUCGUCA
RNAcentral lists this long non-coding RNA (722 nucleotides) under Homo sapiens (human). RNAcentral's name for it is "uncharacterized LOC105375050 (LOC105375050)". The record is from RNAcentral. Lineage: Eukaryota; Metazoa; Chordata; Mammalia; Primates; Hominidae.